Molecule: transfer RNA, 69 nt
Filed under: Pristurus rupestris rupestris
Lineage: Eukaryota; Metazoa; Chordata; Lepidosauria; Squamata; Sphaerodactylidae
Description: tRNA-Met
Source: RNAcentral
AGUGCGGUAAGCUAAACAAGCUUUCGGGCCCAUACCCCGAAAAUGUUGGAUAAAACCCACCCCACACUA